Molecule: small RNA, 205 nt
Filed under: Marmota monax (woodchuck)
Lineage: Eukaryota; Metazoa; Chordata; Mammalia; Rodentia; Sciuridae
Source: RNAcentral
UAGAUUUUUUCAGAAAUCUAAAUAAUUGGUUUUUAAACGUUUUGUGUGUAUAUACUUAUUAAAAGAAAUCUUAAAACUAUAUAUAUAUAUAUAUAUUUGUGUGUGUGUGUGUGUGUGUGUGUGGUGCUAGGGAUUGAACACCAGGGCCUUGUACAUGUGAGGCAAGCACUCUACCAACUGAGCUAUAUUUCCCAGCCUUCUCUAG